This 586-nucleotide ribosomal RNA is filed under the name Schwanniomyces vanrijiae. Its description in RNAcentral is "partial large subunit ribosomal RNA". It matches the Rfam family "Eukaryotic large subunit ribosomal RNA", at positions 68 to 669 of the family's 3401-position model. The record is from RNAcentral. Lineage: Eukaryota; Fungi; Ascomycota; Pichiomycetes; Serinales; Debaryomycetaceae.
ACGGGGUAUUGCCUCAGUAACGGCGAGUGAAGCGGCAAAAGCUCAAAUUUGAAAUCUGGCACCUUUGGUGUCCGAGUUGUAAUUUGAAGAAGGUAACUUUGGAGUUGGCUCUUGUCUAUGUUCCUUGGAACAGGACGUCACAGAGGGUGAGAAUCCCGUGCGAUGAGAUGCCCAAUUCUAUGURAAGUGCUUUCGAAGAGUCGAGUUGUUUGGGAAUGCAGCUCUAAGUGGGUGGUAAAUUCCAUCUAAAGCUAAAUAUUGGCGAGAGACCGAUAGCGAACAAGUACAGUGAUGGAAAGAUGAAAAGAACUUUGAAAAGAGAGUGAAAAAGUACGUGAAAUUGUUGAAAGGGAAGGGCUUGAGAUCAGACUUGGUAUUUUGCAAGCUUUACCUUCGUGGUGGAGUCCCCUGCAGUUUACUGGGCCAGCAUCGGUUUGGAUGGWARGAUAAUGACUUGGGAAUGUGGCUUUGCUUCGGUAAAGUGUUAUAGCCCUUGUUGAUGCUACCUGUCUMGACYGAGGACUGCGUCUUUGACUAGGAUGUUGGCAUAAUGAUCUUAAGUCGCCCGUCUUGAAAMAMGGAMCAA